Molecule: small RNA, 30 nt
Filed under: Bombyx mori (domestic silkworm)
Lineage: Eukaryota; Metazoa; Arthropoda; Insecta; Lepidoptera; Bombycidae
Description: ovarian small RNA-7598
Source: RNAcentral
UCGCUGAGCAACUAGGGCAGAUCCAGCCCC